UUUUCAAUUCUCAAAUCUAAGCACGUGUAUUACACGCAUUCUGCGAAUUUCUAUGGAGAGCAUGAUGAGUAGAAAGAAGAGAGUCCGAGUUGAAUCGGAAGAAUCAGAAUAUAACUCACCGGAAGUGAAGAAACUCAAGGAGAAUCUGUUGUACGAUCUCACCGACGACGAUGAUAGCUCCGAGUUUUGCACCACGAGUCAUGAUUUCGAUUCGUUCAUGAAGAGUUUCGAAGAAGAAAUUACAGCUUCUCCGUCACCGGCGAAGGUGAUGGAGACGGAAGUGGUGGAUUUGACGGCGGAUUCUGAUGAGUCUCAGCCGGAGUUAGGUUACCUUCUCGAAGCGUCGGAUGAUGAACUCGGACUUCCUCCGGCAACGGCGGAGGGAAGUGAAUCGGUAGUCGAAUUGAUCGGAGUUUCACCGGAUUCAAUAUGGGAAGUGGAAGAGAGAAUUCCGAAUUACGAUUCGUUCGAAUUGGGGAUCGCUGAUUUAGUGGAUUUCAACACUGGUGUUUGUGAAUACGUAGCACUAGAUGGAUUGUUUGAUCAUUCGGAUCUUGGUUUCGGGUCACCCGAUUUUCUAUGGAGACCCGAGACGUUACCGGCAAACUAGGAAGUGUAAAUCUUUUUUUUUUUUGGGGUUUUAAUCUUCUUUUUAAUUAUUAAUAUUAUUUAAUUUAAAUAUUAAAAAGCAAGAACAGAGUAUACAAAUUUCUGGAUAUUAAAUUUUG
This 728-nucleotide unclassified non-coding RNA is filed under the name Hevea brasiliensis (rubber tree). The record is from RNAcentral. Lineage: Eukaryota; Viridiplantae; Streptophyta; Magnoliopsida; Malpighiales; Euphorbiaceae.